GGGGUUGUAACUCAGUGGUAGAGUGUUCGCUUGACAUGCGAAAAGCCCGGAGUUCAAUCCUCGCAACUCCA
Molecule: transfer RNA, 71 nt
Filed under: Daphnia pulex (common water flea)
Lineage: Eukaryota; Metazoa; Arthropoda; Branchiopoda; Diplostraca; Daphniidae
Description: tRNA-Val
Rfam family: tRNA
About the family: Transfer RNA (tRNA) molecules are approximately 80 nucleotides in length. Their secondary structure includes four short double-helical elements and three loops (D, anti-codon, and T loops).
Source: RNAcentral